GAUGAACGCUGGCGGCGUGCCUAAUACAUGCAAGUCGAGCGAACAGAUAAGGAGCUUGCUCCUUUGACGUUAGCGGCGGACGGGUGAGUAACACGUGGGUAACCUACCUAUAAGACUGGAAUAACUCCGGGAAACCGGGGCUAAUGCCGGAUAACAUGUUGAACCGCAUGGUUCUACAGUGAAAGGCGGCUUUGCUGUCACUUAUAGAUGGACCCGCGCCGUAUUAGCUAGUUGGUGAGGUAACGGCUCACCAAGGCAACGAUACGUAGCCGACCUGAGAGGGUGAACGGCCACACUGGAACUGAGACACGGUCCAGACUCCUACGGGAGGCAGCAGUAGGGAAUCUUCCGCAAUGGGCGAAAGCCUGACGGAGCAACGCCGCGUGAGUGAUGAAGGUCUUCGGAUCGUAAAACUCUGUUAUUAGGGAAGAACAAAUGCGUAAGUAACUGUGCGCGUCUUGACGGUACCUAAUCAGAAAGCCACGGCUAACUACGUG
Molecule: ribosomal RNA, 497 nt
Filed under: uncultured bacterium
Lineage: Bacteria
Description: partial 16S ribosomal RNA
Rfam family: Bacterial small subunit ribosomal RNA
Source: RNAcentral